This is a non-coding RNA of Acanthosepion pharaonis, 108 nucleotides long. The record is from the annotation of a GenBank genome assembly. Lineage: Eukaryota; Metazoa; Mollusca; Cephalopoda; Sepiida; Sepiidae.
GCCAUAUCACAUUGAAACACUAGUUCCUGUACAAUCACAGAAGUUAAGAAACAUUGAGCCUGGUCAGUACGUAAAUGGGUGACUGCUUGGGAAUACCAGGUGCUGUAC